UGGGGAAUAUUGCACAAUGGGGGAAACCCUGAUGCAGCGACGCCGUGUGAACGAAGAAGGUAUUCGUAUCGUAAAGUUCUGUCCUAUGGGAAGAUAAUGACAGUACCAUAGAAGAAAGCUCCGGCUAAAUACGUGCCAGCAGCCGCGGUAAUACGUAUGGAGCGAGCGUUGUCCGGAAUUAUUGGGCGUAAAGGGUACGCAGGCGGUUUAAUAAGUCGAAUGUUAAAGAUCGGGGCUCAACCCCGCAAAGCAUUGGAAACUGAUAAACUUGAGUAGUGGAGAGGAAAGUGGAAUUCCUAGUGUAGUGGUGAAAUACGUAGAUAUUAGGAGGAAUACCAGUAGCGAAGGCGACUUUCUGGACACAAACUGACGCUGAGGUACGAAAGCGUGGGGAGCAAACAGG
This 403-nucleotide ribosomal RNA is filed under the name bacterium. Its description in RNAcentral is "partial 16S ribosomal RNA". It matches the Rfam family "Bacterial small subunit ribosomal RNA", at positions 355 to 776 of the family's 1533-position model. The record is from RNAcentral.